This 198-nucleotide small nuclear RNA is filed under the name Leersia perrieri. RNAcentral's name for it is "snRNA U2". It matches the Rfam family "U2 spliceosomal RNA". Rfam says of the family: U2 is a small nuclear RNA (snRNA) component of the spliceosome (involved in pre-mRNA splicing). Complementary binding between U2 snRNA (in an area lying towards the 5' end but 3' to hairpin I) and the branchpoint sequence (BPS) of the intron results the bulging out of an unpaired adenosine, on the BPS, which initiates a nucleophilic attack at the intronic 5' splice site, thus starting the first of two transesterification reactions that mediate splicing. The record is from Rfam by way of RNAcentral. Lineage: Eukaryota; Viridiplantae; Streptophyta; Magnoliopsida; Poales; Poaceae.
AUACCUUUCUCGGCCUUUUGGCUAAGAUCAAGUGUAGUAUCUGUUCUUAUCAGUUUAAUAUCUGAUAUGUGGGCCAUGUGUCCACUAUGAUAUUAAAUUUAUUUUUUGUGGGGGAGGAUACCAUAUUAGUGGCUUGCCACUAGGGUUCUCUUGUGUCGCCCAAGCUUUGCACUACAGCUAGGGCCAGGCACACCCCAA